AUGGGGUGGGGAGGGGCAGCGCCUUGCCCUUUCGUGCUCAUUCGUCCCCGUCUUCUCCUUCCCUCUGGAUCUCGUCGCCGACGCUCCUCCUCUCGAUUUGACUCCGGUUCUUCAGGUGCUUUCCCUCUACCCGCCGUCGCUGCUCUCCCAUCAGGCGCCGUCGGCAGUGUAGGACGCCGCUCGCCUCGGGCGAUUCGGCAGGAGGAGGAGGAGGGCCAGCGAAUCCAGGCUGGCACUCUGCUGCUUGCGUCAGCCGCUGACGACGACGCGAGGAGGGAGACCGUGGAUGGAGAUCGCGCGGGCGCGGUCCGCCGCCGCCGUGGGCUGCUCCAAGGAGCACCAGAGGAUCUGCGUCGACUGGUUCGCCCUCGCCGACCCAGGAUCUGGAGUUGCGGUGCUCGCCUCGCCUCAAGUGCGUGUGACGUCACCGGGAAGACCGUCAGCUGCAGCUCGCACAACGACUCUGCCUCGAGGCGUUGCCAUCUACUGGAGAAGCUUCAGACCGUCCUCCUAGCUUUUGUGCAUCUCUGGGAAGAAGACAACCCGAGCUGA
This 552-nucleotide ribosomal RNA is filed under the name Triticum aestivum (bread wheat). RNAcentral's name for it is "partial small subunit ribosomal RNA". Lineage: Eukaryota; Viridiplantae; Streptophyta; Magnoliopsida; Poales; Poaceae. The record is from RNAcentral.